CCCUUAGAUGUUCUGGGCUGCACGCGCGCUACACUGAUGCGCUCAACGAGUUUAUGAACUUGCCCGGAAGGGUUGGUUAAUCUUUUUAAAACGCAUCGUGAUGGGGAUAGAUUAUUGCAAUUAUUAAUCUUCAACGAGGAAUUCCUAGUAGACGUAGUUCGUCAGACUGCAUCGAUUACGUCCCUGCCCUUUGUACACACCGCCCGUCGCUCCUACCGAUUGGAUGAUCCGGUGAGCUAUUCGGACUUUCGCAUUGUCGAUUUUCGGCUUUACGAGGGAAAGUCUCGCGAACCUUAUCAUCUAGAGGAAGGAGAAGUCGUAACA
RNAcentral lists this ribosomal RNA (324 nucleotides) under uncultured eukaryote. RNAcentral describes it as "partial 18S ribosomal RNA". It matches the Rfam family "Eukaryotic small subunit ribosomal RNA", at positions 1470 to 1796 of the family's 1831-position model. The record is from RNAcentral.